UGAGUUAGUUAUUAAAGCUUUAUGCGCUGAGGGAUUGGGAUAUACUCUAUUAGUUGUUGGUGAGGUAAAAGCUCACCAAGGCUAUGAUAGAUAGCUGGUCUUAGAGGAUGAACAGCCACAAUGGGAUUGAGAUACGGCCCAUAUUCCUACGGGAAGCAGCAGUAGGGAAUCUUCCACAAUGGGCGAAAGCCUGAUGGAGCAAUACCAUGUGAACGAUGAAGGUCUUUUUGAUUGUAAAGUUCUUUUAUGAGGGAUAACAACUGAUAGUACCUCAUGAAUA
RNAcentral lists this ribosomal RNA (280 nucleotides) under uncultured Mycoplasma sp. RNAcentral's name for it is "partial 16S ribosomal RNA". It matches the Rfam family "Bacterial small subunit ribosomal RNA", at positions 190 to 488 of the family's 1533-position model. The record is from RNAcentral. Lineage: Bacteria; Bacillati; Mycoplasmatota; Mollicutes; Mycoplasmatales; Mycoplasmataceae.